This 881-nucleotide long non-coding RNA is filed under the name Homo sapiens (human). Its description in RNAcentral is "long non-coding RNA NONHSAT182192.1". Lineage: Eukaryota; Metazoa; Chordata; Mammalia; Primates; Hominidae. The record is from RNAcentral.
CAAAGAACAGAACGUGCCCGUGCCCAAGGAGCCCAUCAUCUUCAGCAAGUUUGCCAGCUCCAUCGUGGGGCCCUAUGAUGAGGUGGUCCUCCCACCACAGAGCCAGAUCCACACAACUUAAAGAUCUGCUGUCGAGUGAAUGGGGAAGUGGUCCAGAGCAGCAACACCAACCAGAUGGUAUUCAAGACAGAGGACCUGAUAGCCUGGGUGUCCCAGUUUGUUACCUUUUACCCAGGGGAUGUCAUCCUGACUGGGACCCCCCCACCUCCACCCAGGUGUCGGUGUAUUCAGGAAACCUCCUGUCUUUCUCAAGGUCUCUGAAGGUCCAGACAGCACUGAUGGCGAGCUUUGGGUCCGCACACUCUGGAAAGAAGAGAGAAGUGAAGGCUCUAGGGGGCAGCAGCCACCAGCAAACACCACUGCCUGCAGGAGCCUGGGCUGACUGGUUGGGACUCACCGAAGAUCCCUUCUUCCUGGGCGGUGGCCUGCAGGAACUGGAACAGCUGCUCUGUGUAGCCCAACUCUGCAGAAGAGAGAAGACCUAGACCUGGCACCCAGCACAGACACAGCCUGCCUCGAGGACUGCAAGGGAACAAGGGCCUCACCAGUAUCGGGCAGCUGGCCCUGGCGGAGGAAGGCGGCAGCCUGUGCAAAGGCCUUGAGCAGCGGGCUGAGCAGGCGGCAGAGGAAAAGAAAGAAAUCUGGGCAGUGUGACUGCUGGCUGAGCUGGAGGGGACAGGCCGGGGUGAGUGCAGCUCCCCACCGCCUCCCUACCACCUCCCUCCAGGGGCAGCUUUUUGAAACACACCCUGAAGUACCGGCCGUCAGCCUCUCCGAAGUCAUCACUGUCACUAUCAGUAAAGUCCCCACUCGGUUUCCAC